GACGAACGCUGGCGGCGCGCUUAACACAUGCAAGUCGAGCGAUGAAAUCUUGACAGAUCCCUUCGGGGUGAAGAUAAGAUGGAUUAGCGGCGGACGGGUGAGUAACACGUGAGUAACCUGCCUUAGACAUUGGGAUAGCCUCGGGAAACCGGGAUUAAUACCAAAUGAAAUCAUAGGUGCCCAUGCACUAAUGAUCAAAACUCCGGUGGUCUAAGAUGGGCUCGCGUCCCAUUAGCUAGUUGGUGAGGUAAUGGCCCACCAAGGCGACGAUGGGUAGCCGGGCAGAGAGAGUGAACGCAGACAUUGGAACUGAGAAACGGUCGAAACUACUAGGGGAGGGGGCAGAGGGGGAUAUUGCACAACGGAGGGAACUCAGAAGCAGCGCCGGUGCGUGAACGAUGAAGGUUUGAGAGACGUACAGUUCUUUUAUAUGGGAAGAUUAUGACGGUACCAUAAGAAAAAGCCCCGGCUAACUACGUG
Molecule: ribosomal RNA, 480 nt
Filed under: uncultured bacterium
Lineage: Bacteria
Description: partial 16S ribosomal RNA
Rfam family: Bacterial small subunit ribosomal RNA
Source: RNAcentral